AACAAGGCGUACCUGCGGACCUGCGGAGGGAUCAUUACCGAGUUUACAACUCCCAAACCCCUGUGAACAUACCUAUACGUUGCCUCGGCGGAUCAGCCCGCGCCCUGUAAAACGGGACGGCCCGCCCGAGGACCCUAAACUCUGUUUUUAGUGGAACUUCUGAGUAAAACAAACAAAUAAAUCAAAACUUUCAGCAACGGAUCU
RNAcentral lists this unclassified non-coding RNA (204 nucleotides) under soil metagenome. Its description in RNAcentral is "partial contains 5.8S ribosomal RNA, internal transcribed spacer 2, and large subunit ribosomal RNA". The record is from RNAcentral.